RNAcentral lists this ribosomal RNA (465 nucleotides) under uncultured Natrialba sp. Its description in RNAcentral is "bacterial SSU rRNA". It matches the Rfam family "Archaeal small subunit ribosomal RNA", at positions 418 to 881 of the family's 1478-position model. Lineage: Archaea; Methanobacteriati; Methanobacteriota; Halobacteria; Halobacteriales; Natrialbaceae. The record is from RNAcentral.
CGUAAGGUGGUUCAGGAACAAGGGCUGGGCAAGACCGGUGCCAGCCGCCGCGGUAAUACCGGCAGCCCAAGUGAUGACCGAUGUUAUUGGGCCUAAAGCGUCCGUAGCUGGCCGGACAAGUCCAUUGGGAAAUCUGCCCGCUCAACGGGUCGGCGUCCGGUGGAAACUGCCUGGCUUGGGACCGAAAGACUCAAGGGGUACGUCUGGGGUAGGAGUGAAAUCCUGUAAUCCUGGACGGACCACCGAUGGGGAAACCACCUCUGGAAAACGGAUCCGACGGUGAGGGACGAAAGCUCGGGUCUCGAACCGGAUUAGAUACCCGGGUAGUCCUAGCUGUAAACAAUGUCNGCUAGGUGUGACACAGGCUAUGAGCCUGUGUUGUGCCGUAGGGAAGCCGAUAAGCAAACCGCCUGGGAAGUACGUCCGCAAGGAUGAAACUUAAAGGAAUUGGCGGGGGGAGCACAA